RNAcentral lists this transfer RNA (72 nucleotides) under Pseudonocardia petroleophila. RNAcentral's name for it is "tRNA-Ser". Lineage: Bacteria; Bacillati; Actinomycetota; Actinomycetes; Pseudonocardiales; Pseudonocardiaceae. The record is from RNAcentral.
GGGCGGUGGUGUACGUCGUCGGCUCGCUUUACACCCGAGCGGUCGCAGGUUCGAACCCUGCCGCGCCCACCA